RNAcentral lists this ribosomal RNA (728 nucleotides) under uncultured bacterium. RNAcentral describes it as "bacterial SSU rRNA". It matches the Rfam family "Bacterial small subunit ribosomal RNA", at positions 28 to 766 of the family's 1533-position model. The record is from RNAcentral.
GACGAACGCUGGCGGCGUGCUUAACACAUGCAAGUCAGGGGUGGGCAAGCCACUCACCGGCGAACGGGUGCGUAACACGUGAGCGACCUGCCUUCGAGAGGGGGAUAGCCGGCCCAACGGCCGGGUAAUACCGCAUACGACUUUUGAGGGGCAUCCCUCGGGAGUGAAACCUUUCGGGCUCGGAGAGGGCUCGCGGCCUAUCAGCUAGUUGGCGGGGUAACGGCCCACCAAGGCGAUGACGGGUAGCUGGUCUGAGAGGAUGGCCAGCCACAUUGGGACUGAGAGACGGCCCAGACUCCUACGGGAGCCAGCAGUGGGGAAUCUUGCGCAAUGGCCGAAAGGCUGACGCAGCGACGCCGCGUGCGGGAUGACGGCCUUCGGGUUGUAAACCGCUGUUGCCCGGGACGAACAGCCCGUUUCGACGGGCCUGACGGUACCGGGGUUGAGGAAGCACCGGCUAACUCUGUGCCAGCAGCCGCGGUAAUACAGAGGGUGCGAGCGUUGUCCGGAAUCACUGGGCGUAAAGGGCGCGUAGGCGGCCGCUUAAGCGUGUGGUGAAAGCGCGGGGCUCAACCCCGCGUCGGCCAUGCGAACUGGGGGCUGGGCAGCACAAGAGAGGCAGGCGGAAUUCCGGGUGUAGCGGUGGAAUGCGUAGAGAUCCGGAAGAACACCGGUGGCGAAGGCGGCCUGCUGGCUUGUGGCUGACGCUGAGGCGCGACAGCGUGGGG